This 560-nucleotide ribosomal RNA is filed under the name uncultured fungus. Its description in RNAcentral is "partial 18S ribosomal RNA". It matches the Rfam family "Eukaryotic small subunit ribosomal RNA", at positions 191 to 755 of the family's 1831-position model. Lineage: Eukaryota; Fungi. The record is from RNAcentral.
AUUGGAAGGGAUGUAUUUAUUAGAUAAAAAACCANNNCGCNCUGNGGGUCCNUUGGUGAUUCAUAAUANCUUUUCGAAUCGCAUGCCCUUGUGCGGNCGAUGGUUCAUUCAAAUUUCUGCCCUAUCANCUUUCGAUGGUAGGAUAGAGGCCUNCCAUGGUUUNNCCGGGUAACGGGGAAUUAGGGUUCGAUUCCGGAGAGGGAGCCUGAGAAACGGCUACCACAUCCAAGGAAGGCAGCAGGCGCGCAAAUUACCCAAUCCCGACACGGGGAGGUAGUGACAAUAAAUACCGAUACAGGGCUCUUUGGGUUCUGGCAAUUGGAAUGAGUCCAAUUUAAAUCCCUUAACGAGGACCAAUUGGAGGCCAAUUCUGGUGCCACCACCCCCGGUAAUUCCAGCUCCAAUAGCGUAUAUUAAAGUUGUUCCAGUUAAAAAGCUCGUAGUUGAACCUUGGUCCUGGCUANCNGUCCUCCUCACCGAGUGCACGGAUUCGGUCGGUCCUUUCCUCCUGGGGAACCUCAUGCCCUUCACUGGGUGUGUUGGGGAACCAGGACUUUUAC